UUAGAUGGCUUUCUACAUUUUGACGAAGCACAUUUUGUGUACCCCAUAUUCCACAAUGCAUUACCUGGUUUA
This is a non-coding RNA of Pangasianodon gigas (Mekong giant catfish), 72 nucleotides long. Lineage: Eukaryota; Metazoa; Chordata; Actinopteri; Siluriformes; Pangasiidae. The record is from the annotation of a GenBank genome assembly.